GAAUACUGAAAAAUGAAGCCUAAAAUGAAGUAUUCAACCAACAAAAUUUCCACAGCAAAGUGGAAGAACACAGCAAGCAAAGCCUUGUGUUUCAAGCUGGGAAAAUCCCAACAGAAGGCCAAAGAAGUUUGCCCCAUGUACUUUAUGAAGCUCCGCUCUGGCCUUAUGAUAAAAAAGGAGGCCUGUUACUUUAGGAGAGAAACCACCAAAAGGCCUUCACUGAAAACAGGUAGAAAGCACAAAAGACAUCUAGUACUCGCUGCCUGUCAAGAGCAGUCUACUGUGGAGUGCUUUGCCUUUGGUAUAUCAGGGGUCCAGAAAUAUACUAGAGCACUUCAUGAUUCAAGUAUCACAGGUAUGACUGGUU
This 367-nucleotide long non-coding RNA is filed under the name Pan troglodytes (chimpanzee). RNAcentral's name for it is "long non-coding RNA NONPTRT017391". Lineage: Eukaryota; Metazoa; Chordata; Mammalia; Primates; Hominidae. The record is from RNAcentral.